UUCAGUUGAGUGCCGAACUUGGCCGAAGUAUCGAUGCAUUUCAAAGAAUAUAUUUUGUUUACAUAUUUUAUAUGAAUAUUUGUGAACACUAGUUAGUAAUAAUGUUUUUUAAUCUAAUCUUCGACGCGAAUUGAAGAUCCUCUCUCUUCGUAAUAAAGAGAGAAAUUGACAAAUGCACAAUAUAUUCUAUUGCAAUUUCGAGGUUAGAAAUCUAACAAAACUCCGGUUAAUUUAAGCGGUGGUUUAUUCGAUUGAAAAUGUGUCGAUAAAGUUUUAUGUUUUCUAAUCUUUCUUUCUAUGCAUCGAGCAAUUAACAGUUGUAUUCAUUUCAAUCAAAUACUGCGUAAUACUAGGAGUAUUACAUUGACAAGUUGAUCGGAGUUUGAUUAAAGCUUUAAAAAUGUCAGAAGAGAAAAUUGGUUCACUGGAAGAGGAGGCUCUGAAGAGAAAAGAACGGCUUCAGGCUCUCAAAAGGAAGAAUGAAGAAAGUAAGGAAAAUAAGAACAACGCGGACGAAAUAUUGCCAAAGCCGAAAUUCCGAAGUUACAAGCCGCAAGAUGAAAAUUUGAAAAGUAAUAUGAUAGAGGAUGCGAAACCUGGAGAUGUAGAAGCCGUGGUUCGUGAACAGUUGGAUGCUGCGAGCAGCAAAGUGGUCAUCGAGGAACUAGACAUCAGUAAUUUAGCACCAAGAAAACCUGAUUGGGAUUUAAAGAGAGAUAUAGCUAAAAAAUUAGAAAUAUUAGAGAGGAGAACACAGAAAGCAAUAGCAGAAGAAGUGAGAGCGCGUCUCAAACAAGGCCAACAAAAUCUAGCAGUUUAUGUAAAUGAGACUAACAAAGAAUAGAAGUACUGUUUAUCGUCGAAAUGACUGCAUGAGGAGACCGCCAACGUGACAUCUCGGCUGGAAAUCCUUGGCUGAUUUAAAGCGAUUAUCUUGAGGAUGACGAGCCAUCCUCGGCGUCCUUCCAUUAUGCAAAAUUUUUAUUGUUGCAUGAUUACGUGAGAUGCGUGCAAGGAGCAUUGAGGGCUCGCGAAAUCUAAUGAUAAAAAAAAUGUCUUAAAUCAAAGGGCUUUGCUAUUGAAUCGUCGUAAAAUUUAGGGGUCCGAGGAUUGACAAGUCGAGAAUCAUCACUAGCAUCUCAAUCGCGACUUUCGUAGAGUAUUCUGUGGUCAUCCGCAACGAUUUUGAUGCAUAUCAAUGCGGUUGAAUGCAACAUCAAUGCAACGGUUACGGAAGAUACUUAUUGUUAACGCAUACCUGGUAAUACAUACACGAGUAGUUGCAAUUUUGAUUUAAUCAUCUAGUAUUAGUACAUCGAUUUUAUUGAACACAGUGAAUACUUUAUUUAAUCAA
Nylanderia fulva is the source of this 1354-nucleotide RNA transcript. It is a transcript of the gene named coiled-coil domain-containing protein 12, with no coding region annotated. The record is from RefSeq and is a predicted model, not a curated record. NCBI's taxonomy places the organism in Eukaryota, Metazoa, Arthropoda, Insecta, Hymenoptera, Formicidae.